RNAcentral lists this ribosomal RNA (507 nucleotides) under uncultured bacterium. RNAcentral's name for it is "bacterial SSU rRNA". It matches the Rfam family "Bacterial small subunit ribosomal RNA", at positions 20 to 518 of the family's 1533-position model. The record is from RNAcentral.
UGGCUCAGGAUGAACGCUAGCUACAGGCUUAACACAUGCAAGUCGAGGGGCAGCGAGAGGAAAGCUUGCUUCCUGUCGGCGACCGGCGCACGGGUGAGUAACGCGUAUCCAACCUUCCCCAUAGUAGAGGAUAGCCCGGCGAAAGUCGGAUUAAUACUCUAUGUUGUGUCAUGAGGACAUCUGAAUAACACUAAAGAUUUAUCGCUAUGGGAUGGGGAUGCGUCUGAUUAGCUUGUCGGCGGGGUAACGGCCCACCGAGGCGACGAUCAGUAGGGGUUCUGAGAGGAAGGUCCCCCACAUUGGUACUGAGACACGGACCAAACUCCUACGGGAGGCAGCAGUGAGGAAUAUUGGUCAAUGGACGAGAGUCUGAACCAGCCAAGUAGCGUGCAGGAUGACUGCCCUAUGGGUUGUAAACUGCUUUUAUGCGGGAAUAAAGUCAGGUACGUGUACCUGUUUGUAUGUACCGCAUGAAUAAGGACCGGCUAAUUCCGUGCCAGCAGCAGC